GACGAACGCUGGCGGCGUGCUUAACACAUGCAAGUCGAACGGAAAGGCCCUGCUUUUGUGGGGUGCUCGAGUGGCGAACGGGCGAGUAACACGUGAGUAACCUGCCCUUGACUUUGGGAUAACUUCAGGAAACUGGGGCUAAUACCGGAUAGGAGCCCCUGCUGCAUGGUGGGGGUUGGAAAGUUUCGGCGGUUGGGGAUGGACUCGCGGCUUAUCAGCUUGUUGGUGGGGUAGUGGCUUACCAAGGCUUUGACGGGUAGCCGGCCUGAGAGGGUGACCGGCCACAUUGGGACUGAGAUACGGCCCAGACUCCUACGGGAGGCAGCAGUGGGGAAUAUUGCACAAUGGGCGGAAGCCUGAUGCAGCAACGCCGCGUGCGGGAUGACGGCCUUCGGGUUGUAAACCGCUUUCGCCUGUGACGAAGCGUGAGUGACGGUAAUGGGUAAAGAAGCACCGGCUAACUACGUG
Molecule: ribosomal RNA, 468 nt
Filed under: uncultured bacterium
Lineage: Bacteria
Description: partial 16S ribosomal RNA
Rfam family: Bacterial small subunit ribosomal RNA
Source: RNAcentral